CGCAGUCUAGUUAGCAAUUAUACCGCGAAACUGCGAAUGGCUCAUUAUAUAAGUUAUCGUUUAUUUGAUAGUACCUUACUACUUGGAUAACCGUGGUAAUUCUAGAGCUAAUACAUGCUAAAAAUCCCGACUUCGGAAGGGAUGUAUUUAUUAGAUUAAAAACCAAUGCCCUUCGGGGCUUUCUGGUGAUUCAUGAUAACUUCUCGAAUCGCAUGGCCUUGCGCCGGCGAUGGUUCAUUCAAAUUUCUUCCCUAUCAACUUUCGAUGUUUGGGUAUUGGCCAAACAUGGUUGCAACGGGUAACGGAGGGUUAGGGCUCGACCCCGGAGAAGGAGCCUGAGAAACGGCUACUACAUCCAAGGAAGGCAGCAGGCGCGCAAAUUACCCAAUCCCGACACGGGGAGGUAGUGACAAUAAAUACUGAUACAGGGCUCUUUUGGGUCUUGUAAUUGGAAUGAGUACAAUUUAAAUCCCUUAACGAGGAACAAUUGGAGGGCAAGUCUGGUGGACAUUCGCUGGCGCCAGAGAGAGCCAUGCCCUAUAAUUAUGGCUAGUCGAGUGCUCGUUAUGUGACGGGUGAGCACCGGCAAGACAACCUGGAUCGGGGAAGCCUAAGGGUCCUUCGGGGCCUAUGGUAAUCCCGAGCAGAGCUUUAGCGAGGGUAACCUGCUGAAGCCUGUGUAGAGCGCGCUAAGGUGUCGGUCACACGUGCUGCAAAGCACGCGGGGCUUAAGGGACGUGCCAAUCCCCAGUGAAAGCUGGGCUCUACGGUCAAGCACCCGUCGUGUGAAACCGUAGGGAGGCCUGCGCAAGCAGGUCGUAGACAGUCAAGUCUUUAAAAAUUAAAUGGCCAGCAGCCGCGGUAAUUCCAGCUCCAAUAGCGUAUAUUAAAGUUGUUGUGGUUAAAAAGCUCGUAGUUGAACCUUGGGCCUGGCUGGCCGGUCCGCCUCACCGCGUGUACUGGUCCGGCCGGGCCUUUCCCUCUGUGGAACCCCAUGCCCUUCACUGGGUGUGGCGGGGAAACAGGACUUUUACUUUGAAAAAAUUAGAGUGCUCCAGGCAGGCCUAUGCUCGAAUACAUUAGCAUGGAAUAAUAGAAUAGGACGUGUGGUUCUAUUUUGUUGGUUUCUAGGACCGCCGUAAUGAUUAAUAGGGACAGUCGGGGGCAUCAGUAUUCAAUUGUCAGAGGUGAAAUUCUUAGAUUUAUUGAAGACUAACUACUGCGAAAGCAUUUGCCAAGGAUGUUUUCAUUAAUCAGGAACGAAAGUUAGGGGAUCGAAGACGAUCAGAUACCGUCGUAGUCUUAACCAUAAACUAUGCCGACUAGGGAUCGGACGAUGUUAUUUUUUGACUCGUUCGGCACCUUACGAGAAAUCAAAGUGCU
Molecule: ribosomal RNA, 1383 nt
Filed under: Thyronectria cucurbitula
Lineage: Eukaryota; Fungi; Ascomycota; Sordariomycetes; Hypocreales; Nectriaceae
Description: SSU rRNA
Rfam family: Eukaryotic small subunit ribosomal RNA
Source: RNAcentral